Long non-coding RNA from Girardinichthys multiradiatus, 523 nucleotides. RefSeq lists it as uncharacterized. NCBI's taxonomy places the organism in Eukaryota, Metazoa, Chordata, Actinopteri, Cyprinodontiformes, Goodeidae. The transcript has 3 exons. The record is from RefSeq and is a predicted model, not a curated record.
GAACCUGACUUUGCCUUCUGCAUUGAACCCUGCCUGGAUUACCAUCUUCUGGAAAGAAGCUAUUGAGCUCCAUGAACAAAGACUCAAGCCUCUUAUUACUUCAUUGGAUCACACCGGCUGGCAGCCUCCUGAUUCCUUCGUUCCUUGGAUCUCCUUCUACGAGCCCUGUCCACCCUCCUCCAUUCACUGCACCAACUUCAGAAACUAUUGGACCUACUAAACAUCCUGGCACACCAGUUGAUAGGUAUUAUUUAGUCAACUCAGAGUUUUCUCUCCUGAACAUCUGCAUCAAGAGACUUCUGUCCUAGGCCUACCAAGCACCCCAUGCAUUCUUAUUAUGGGUGGGCAGCUUUUUAAAGUUGCUGUUGAUCAAGUGAUUGUGAAUGACCAGAUAAAGUUCCCCACCGCAGCCCUGAGCUACACCUUUUCUAUGUUUUAAACAUAAAAUAUAGAGAUAGGGUGAGAAGCUCGGUCAUCCGGGAGGGGCUCAGAGUUGAGCCACUGCUUCUCCACGUUGAGAGGA